ACUUCUUUCUUCUUUCUUCUUUCUUUUGUUCCUUUCUCAGGUUUGGUUUCUAGGGUUUUGAUUGAUUAUUAGGUAAUUCCAUAUUGUGAAAUUUUGGUGCGAAAGUUUCAAUUUUUAUUCUGUUAUGGUGAUGAUUAUAUUGUUGUGUGCAUCUGUCUUUACCCUCUCCAUGUUUGUGAAUUUGAAUGGCAAUGGGGAUAUAACUGAUGCACAGAUUCAAAAUGGUUGACUUACCAGCCCAUUGCACCUUGUUUUUCCAAUUGCCAUGGGUCAAAUGGAUCUACCAAAAUUUAAUUUUAUUCAAUUCAUUUCAUAUAUGUAUAUUGUUUGUUCAAAUUGGCAUGUGAUGAUUACUUGAUAAACCGCUUAUUGAUAUACUGAUUUUUUCAGUGUUGACAACAUACUUUUCUGAUGCCAUAUAUAUUUAGUUUGCUCAAUUUUAAUCUCAUGUUUUAAUUUGCUUUGUCUUUUGCAUUUUCUUAGUCAACUAUUCACCAGAAUAUGUUUCAGUUGAAAAUGAUAAACUCAGAUUCAGUUAACUUUACAUGGAGUUUCUACUUAGUUUAAAACUGUUAUAUGGUUUGAUAUGUUGAAUAAAAUACUUAAAAAUUUAUUUUUUAUGUAUUAUAGUUUGCAUGAAUAGCUACUUGUGAUUUGAUUCUGAAACAUAAAGAGUAUGGAUUGUGGAAUGGCAAAUGAUGUGAAAAUUGUCUUAUCCUACACACUGAAAAAAUGUUGUGAAGAUCAAAUACUCCGCUUAUUAUCUGAUGCCUUUCCUAUCUUACCAUUUGUUCCAUAUGAUUCAUCAUUUAAUCAUGGUUUAAUAUUGGCAUAUGAUUUUUGAGGUUUUCAUGUAUAAGUGUUCUUAAUACAAUGGUUAUUAGCAAAAUUAAUUGUUUGCAUUAAUCAAUGAUGAAGAAAAGCAGACGGGCGGACUGAACUGAUGCCUUGUUGAUUGUCUGCCAUUUCCAGCAUUGGAAUGUUUCUGAGAUUUUGAUAAUAAAAAUUAACAAUAUCUUUUAAGAUCUGCAUAAUUGUUCACUAUAUAUCCUUUUACUUAUUAAAUGAAGUAUCUUUUUUGAAAACUAAAAUUAUGGGUACAUCAAACAUUAGCUAUUGAUUCAUUUACUUUGUUUUUCAAUAUAAGUACAGGUGUUGUUUUAUACAUUUUUUAUGUGUAUAUUGUAUUUCAACAUGUAUUCUAUCCGAGUAAUUGAUUUGCGGCUGAAACAUGAUCGACACAUAGGAUGAUUGUUCCAAAAAUGAUUAUUAGUUUCUGCAGUGAUGAAGUUGCAUAAAUAUGUCUGGACAUAUGAAACUUUGUUAUGAUUUGAUCAUUUGCUACUUCUGAGCAGAAUAAUAUGUGCCUCCUUAGUUUGUUUAUGUAGUUCAUAAGUUUUUUCAGUUUACCAUGGUUGUGGAUAUAUUAUCAGAAGAAUAACAUCUUUAUUCAUAGUCACAAAAGCAUUUUUAAUUUUUGGACUAUGCCAAUUAUAUAAUUGUAGAAGAAAUAAUUAAUGACUGAAUUCACCUAUUAGCCCUCAACUUAUAGAAAGGAGCAAGUGCAAUUGACAAUGGAAAUGGUCUUUUCAAUUUUUUUAAAAAAUUUCUUGUAAAGUAUUAUUUCUCUUUAUUCAACAUCUUUUCCAAUGAUUUUUUUUUUGGUUCUGUUUAAAGAGGAUAGGGUAAAAAAUCACACUUUAUAAAAAGAUUGAGAGAAAAAUUAGAAAGAUUUAUUAUUGGGACUUAUUUGUUAACAUAGAGUAGUUCUCGCAUCUCUCUAUAUAUAAUAGGAGAGCAGUACUUGGUUAAUUGAUUGACUAAGUGUCAUGACCAGUUAAAUAACACGUGUCUAAGUAAAAUUACAUUGUGAACCAAAAAAGUGAAAUGUAAACAUUAAAACGUGAAAUAAUAGCUCUGAACAAGGUGGGUUCGAUAAAAGAAAGUUGAGAAGGAGAUUUUGGCUAUGAGCGGUUUCUUUCUCUUUUUGGGGUUGGAAUUCAAAUUUCAAACACAAAAUUUGAAUGAGUAUUCCAAAUCAGAAGUUAGUGAAUAAAUUUAAACUUAGGAUUUUAUAAUUCAAAUCAUUGAUUUGAAGGUCUCUCUCUUCGCUUCUUUCUUUCUUGGGCUCUCUCUAAAAGAAAAAAGAACGAGCUCACCGGUGAAGAUAGAGAAUGGGUGUGCUCAGUGUUGCGGGCUAGGAGAGAGCCUGUCGAAGGAAAAAGAAGACGAUGACAGAGGCUCCGAAUCUGUUUCAUGGAGUAGCAAAGAUGAUGAACAAUAAAUUUAAGGUGGCGGUGCCGGUGGCUGUUGGUGCAGCUGUAAGGAGAAAGAAUAGUGGCACGGUGAGUGGUGCUACUACCGUCAGAGAAGAAGGAACAGCUGGCAACAAGUUGACGACUUUAAGACUGGAGAGCUCGGUGGUGCAGCAGAGAUAAUGCCAUUAGAGUUCGGGAUGCAAUCAGAGGAAACGCCGGAGCUCUGGUGCAAUGUUCCGAUUCAUCCUCUCUCCAUCUUCACUACUCUCUGGCUGAGGGAAUAAACUGCAACAUCUUUUGUGGUUUUGGGAUCUUUUUUUUCAUUUUGGGAGAUUUCUGUGGUUAUUUGUUUAUGGCUUUGAGUAUUUUGUACGAUUGGAAGCUUUGAGAUUCGGGUAUGGAGAGUGUUGGUUUAGAAGAAGAUAAGAGGAAGGAGAACAAGAUCAAGUGCAAAAUGAAGACUGUGAAUUAAGCGAGUUCUGGAGAAAACUUAUGCUGGGGAGGCUUACCUUUCAGAAGCAGUGCAAGUGAGUUAUUCUGAGCAUACUUUCAAGUAUUG
Arachis stenosperma is the source of this 2817-nucleotide long non-coding RNA. RefSeq lists it as uncharacterized. Lineage: Eukaryota; Viridiplantae; Streptophyta; Magnoliopsida; Fabales; Fabaceae. The record is from RefSeq and is a predicted model, not a curated record. The transcript has 4 exons.